Long non-coding RNA from Orbicella faveolata, 796 nucleotides. The record is from RefSeq and is a predicted model, not a curated record. NCBI's taxonomy places the organism in Eukaryota, Metazoa, Cnidaria, Anthozoa, Scleractinia, Merulinidae.
GGGCAUUAUUUACCUGUCAUGCCCACUGGCAGAUUGUGGGCAUGCAAAAAAACCAAAAGCCAUAUAAUAAACAGCUUAUUAACCUCAAACUCGGUCUUUAUGGAAAAACCUCAAACCCUAGCCUUGCCGUAUUGAUCUUGAUAUCACUAAGUCAAUACAGCUAGGUCUCAGUUUGAGAUUUUCCCAUAAAGACCUCAGUCUCAGUUAAUAAGUAGUUAACAGACUGAUCAAGUACAUCACAAUUUACUUAUUUUUGAUGUACAUGAUUUUUUCUGCAGGUCCGAGGGCAAUGUUUGCAGCAGGGUUCUGUCAACUCGACACAUGAUAGAUACAAGACUCUACCUGAUGAUGAAGUUGGUGGUGUUAGGAAAACUCGAGUGACAUCAUCACCCAAAAACCUUGUCACAAACAUUUUUCGACACAGAGUCUCAAGGAACAGAGUGCGGCAUGUGGAUGAGCAGUUUGAUCUUGACUUGACCUACAUCACAGACAGGAUAAUCGCAAUGUCAUUUCCUGGAUCUGGUCUGGAAACAACUUACAGAAAUAACCUGAGAGAAGUGGCAAAGAUGCUGCAGACAAACCAUCAGGAUAAGUACAUGGUUUUUAAUUUAUCUGAAAGAAGAUAUGACAUAUCCAAACUAAAUCACCAGGUAGAGUGAUUGAGUUCAUUUACUAAUAAAUAGUAUGUUGUUUAAAUUUUCCAAAAAAAAAAUGAAGAUGACUGGCUGUGUGAUCUGUAUGUCUGCCUCUGGUCAGAUAUUUUCUUAUAUACAUGUACUCUGACACAUGAAUUAAG